RNAcentral lists this ribosomal RNA (2906 nucleotides) under Escherichia coli. RNAcentral describes it as "23S ribosomal RNA". It matches the Rfam family "Bacterial large subunit ribosomal RNA". Lineage: Bacteria; Pseudomonadati; Pseudomonadota; Gammaproteobacteria; Enterobacterales; Enterobacteriaceae. The record is from RNAcentral.
GGUUAAGCGACUAAGCGUACACGGUGGAUGCCCUGGCAGUCAGAGGCGAUGAAGGACGUGCUAAUCUGCGAUAAGCGUCGGUAAGGUGAUAUGAACCGUUAUAACCGGCGAUUUCCGAAUGGGGAAACCCAGUGUGAUUCGUCACACUAUCAUUAACUGAAUCCAUAGGUUAAUGAGGCGAACCGGGGGAACUGAAACAUCUAAGUACCCCGAGGAAAAGAAAUCAACCGAGAUUCCCCCAGUAGCGGCGAGCGAACGGGGAGCAGCCCAGAGCCUGAAUCAGUGUGUGUGUUAGUGGAAGCGUCUGGAAAGGCGCGCGAUACAGGGUGACAGCCCCGUACACAAAAAUGCACAUGCUGUGAGCUCGAUGAGUAGGGCGGGACACGUGGUAUCCUGUCUGAAUAUGGGGGGACCAUCCUCCAAGGCUAAAUACUCCUGACUGACCGAUAGUGAACCAGUACCGUGAGGGAAAGGCGAAAAGAACCCCGGCGAGGGGAGUGAAAAAGAACCUGAAACCGUGUACGUACAAGCAGUGGGAGCACAGAGCAAUCUGUGUGACUGCGUACCUUUUGUAUAAUGGGUCAGCGACUUAUAUUCUGUAGCAAGGUUAACCGAAUAGGGGAGCCGAAGGGAAACCGAGUCUUAACUGGGCGUUAAGUUGCAGGGUAUAGACCCGAAACCCGGUGAUCUAGCCAUGGGCAGGUUGAAGGUUGGGUAACACUAACUGGAGGACCGAACCGACUAAUGUUGAAAAAUUAGCGGAUGACUUGUGGCUGGGGGUGAAAGGCCAAUCAAACCGGGAGAUAGCUGGUUCUCCCCGAAAGCUAUUUAGGUAGCGCCUCGUGAAUUCAUCUCCGGGGGUAGAGCACUGUUUCGGCAAGGGGGUCAUCCCGACUUACCAACCCGAUGCAAACUGCGAAUACCGGAGAAUGUUAUCACGGGAGACACACGGCGGGUGCUAACGUCCGUCGUGAAGAGGGAAACAACCCAGACCGCCAGCUAAGGUCCCAAAGUCAUGGUUAAGUGGGAAACGAUGUGGGAAGGCCCAGACAGCCAGGAUGUUGGCUUAGAAGCAGCCAUCAUUUAAAGAAAGCGUAAUAGCUCACUGGUCGAGUCGGCCUGCGCGGAAGAUGUAACGGGGCUAAACCAUGCACCGAAGCUGCGGCAGCGACGCUUAUGCGUUGUUGGGUAGGGGAGCGUUCUGUAAGCCUGUGAAGGUGUACUGUGAGGUAUGCUGGAGGUAUCAGAAGUGCGAAUGCUGACAUAAGUAACGAUAAAGCGGGUGAAAAGCCCGCUCGCCGGAAGACCAAGGGUUCCUGUCCAACGUUAAUCGGGGCAGGGUGAGUCGACCCCUAAGGCGAGGCCGAAAGGCGUAGUCGAUGGGAAACAGGUUAAUAUUCCUGUACUUGGUGUUACUGCGAAGGGGGGACGGAGAAGGCUAUGUUGGCCGGGCGACGGUUGUCCCGGUUUAAGCGUGUAGGCUGGUUUUCCAGGCAAAUCCGGAAAAUCAAGGCUGAGGCGUGAUGACGAGGCACUACGGUGCUGAAGCAACAAAUGCCCUGCUUCCAGGAAAAGCCUCUAAGCAUCAGGUAACAUCAAAUCGUACCCCAAACCGACACAGGUGGUCAGGUAGAGAAUACCAAGGCGCUUGAGAGAACUCGGGUGAAGGAACUAGGCAAAAUGGUGCCGUAACUUCGGGAGAAGGCACGCUGAUAUGUAGGUGAAGUCCCUCGCGGAUGGAGCUGAAAUCAGUCGAAGAUACCAGCUGGCUGCAACUGUUUAUUAAAAACACAGCACUGUGCAAACACGAAAGUGGACGUAUACGGUGUGACGCCUGCCCGGUGCCGGAAGGUUAAUUGAUGGGGUUAGCGCAAGCGAAGCUCUUGAUCGAAGCCCCGGUAAACGGCGGCCGUAACUAUAACGGUCCUAAGGUAGCGAAAUUCCUUGUCGGGUAAGUUCCGACCUGCACGAAUGGCGUAAUGAUGGCCAGGCUGUCUCCACCCGAGACUCAGUGAAAUUGAACUCGCUGUGAAGAUGCAGUGUACCCGCGGCAAGACGGAAAGACCCCGUGAACCUUUACUAUAGCUUGACACUGAACAUUGAGCCUUGAUGUGUAGGAUAGGUGGGAGGCUUUGAAGUGUGGACGCCAGUCUGCAUGGAGCCGACCUUGAAAUACCACCCUUUAAUGUUUGAUGUUCUAACGUGGACCCGUAAUCCGGGUUGCGGACAGUGUCUGGUGGGUAGUUUGACUGGGGCGGUCUCCUCCUAAAGAGUAACGGAGGAGCACGAAGGUUGGCUAAUCCUGGUCGGACAUCAGGAGGUUAGUGCAAUGGCAUAAGCCAGCUUGACUGCGAGCGUGACGGCGCGAGCAGGUGCGAAAGCAGGUCAUAGUGAUCCGGUGGUUCUGAAUGGAAGGGCCAUCGCUCAACGGAUAAAAGGUACUCCGGGGAUAACAGGCUGAUACCGCCCAAGAGUUCAUAUCGACGGCGGUGUUUGGCACCUCGAUGUCGGCUCAUCACAUCCUGGGGCUGAAGUAGGUCCCAAGGGUAUGGCUGUUCGCCAUUUAAAGUGGUACGCGAGCUGGGUUUAGAACGUCGUGAGACAGUUCGGUCCCUAUCUGCCGUGGGCGCUGGAGAACUGAGGGGGGCUGCUCCUAGUACGAGAGGACCGGAGUGGACGCAUCACUGGUGUUCGGGUUGUCAUGCCAAUGGCACUGCCCGGUAGCUAAAUGCGGAAGAGAUAAGUGCUGAAAGCAUCUAAGCACGAAACUUGCCCCGAGAUGAGUUCUCCCUGACCCUUUAAGGGUCCUGAAGGAACGUUGAAGACGACGACGUUGAUAGGCCGGGUGUGUAAGCGCAGCGAUGCGUUGAGCUAACCGGUACUAAUGAACCGUGAGGCUUAACCUU